Ochotona princeps (American pika) is the source of this 103-nucleotide small nuclear RNA. Lineage: Eukaryota; Metazoa; Chordata; Mammalia; Lagomorpha; Ochotonidae. The record is from RefSeq and is a predicted model, not a curated record.
GUACUCACUUUGUAGCACAUUUACUGAUGUUGGAACAAUACAGAGAUUAGCCAUGGCCCUGCGCUAGGAUGACAUGCAGCUUCCUGAGGCGUUGCCUGUGGUU